Molecule: long non-coding RNA, 2063 nt
Organism: Cyprinus carpio (common carp)
Lineage: Eukaryota; Metazoa; Chordata; Actinopteri; Cypriniformes; Cyprinidae
Source: Ensembl
GAAAGAAUCCAUAAGAUAGAGAGGAUUCAGUUUCUGUGGGCAUUUACACAACUAAACUUUGUUUAAACUAAAAAAUGUAAUACUUCUUAUGUGUUUUGGCCAUUCAUUUACACAAUAGCAGCAUUCUGGUUGCCUGAAAAUGCAAACUUUUGAAAACAGGGGUCCAUUCUUCGUACCUUGCUUAAUAAAUCUGAGAUGGUUUGAAAGAUGCCAGAUCUUCUAAUCAUGAUAACUGAUCUCUGGCUAAUUUGGUUCUUCAAACAAAUUUGUGGAUUUGAUUAAAAUACCUGGAUUAAGCUGUCUGAGAUUACUAUGAGUUCUCAUGUUCCCUGAAAAGGGCAGAUGUAUCAAUACUAAAAACUGUAUCAAUGCAUCAAUACAAAAAAAAAAAAAAAAAAAAAAAAAAAUGCAGCUAUUGGCUGGUGGCAAGACAGCAACAUAUUGACAUCAUAUAAUUAACAAAAACUUGACACAUUUCUGAACAUUUACAGUUUAAGGAAACAACCAAACAAAUGAAAUAGUUAUAAUAGAUAAAGGAAAUGUGCACUGUUUUUAAUUGUUUUUAUUUUUUAUUUACAAGAUUCACAAUUAUUUAUAUUCACGAUUUCUAGUAUUUUAUAAUAUUAUAACAUUAUUUUGUAAUUAUUAUUCUUUUAAAAGUAUUGUCCCUGGAUCAAUAGAGUACUCUUGUAUUAAAGUAGUGGCUGGGACAGAUUUUGAGUAUCACUUCUGCUUAAAAAAACACAUUCAAUUCCUGUUUACAUAAAAUAAGCCUGCUCCCGAGCAAGUUUAAGCUUACAGACCUGUUGCUAUGACAGGAACUCCAAGAUUAGCUUUGAAGAACCAAACAAUCCAAGAUCAUGCCAAAUCAUCAACAAUCAAAUCCAGCGUGAGUGAGCGACGUAUGAAGAACAGACCUCAGGUUUUGAAGUGCAAACUUUUGAAAACAACACUUUUAUCAUCUCUGUGUAAACUACGAAAACUACUUGUUCCUGAUGGUUGGUCUUGUCUGUCAGUCUUGUUUGCCUUAUGGAAGGACUGUCUCCUGGAGAGCCAGGCCUAAUUAAACACACAUGAACCAGCUUAUCACAGUCUUCAGGAUGGUAGUAGAAACUUCAGGCAAGUUGGAACUGUGCUUGAAUGCAGUGUCAUGGAGAUUAUAUACAAAUUAACUUAAGUUACUUGUUUUGUAAUGUUCAGAUUACAAAACAAGAAACUUAAAAAUGUACAAUUAUGUUGAUUGUCACGUUUGUUGAGUUUUGUAUGUUGAGUGUUGAUUAGUGUGUGCCUAGUUGCCGACCUAACCAUUCUACUAGACACAAAAGUAUUGCCAACACCUGGUUAAUUGUUUAUAAAAGAUUAUUUUCUUUUAAAGGGGUCAUAUGAUGCUGCUAAAAAGAACAUUAUUUUGUGUAUUUGGUGUAAUGAAAUGUGUUUAUAUGGUUUAAGGUUAAAAAACAAAUAAUUUUCCACAUACUGUACAUUAUUGUUUCUUCUCUAUGCCCCGCCUUCUGAAACGCGUCAAUUUUUACAAGGCUCAUCGCUCUGAAAAUCGAGGUGUGCUGUGAUUGGCCAGCUAUCCAGCGCAUUGUGAUUGGCCGAAUGCCUCAAGUGUGUGACGGAAAUGUUACGCCUCUUAACAUAUUGUGAUGCCUUGUCCAACCGGAGCGAUAAAACAUAAAUACACAUGCUCCAUUGCAUCUUCAUAAAAGAGUGCUCUGUUACUAUUCUUUUUCCUGAUUAUUUUGUGACAUAAAGCAUGCGAGAGUCUACACAGACAGGCAGGCAAUGGAAGCAUUAAAACUUGUUUCCUCAUAACAGAGUGAUUCAGAUGCACCAUCUGACACACAAUCGCUGGGUACAUUCCAACAUCUUGUUAUGUUUUAUUUUACUUCUGAAAAGUUCAAUCAAAUCAAUCAAAUCAUUUCAAGAAAAGCCAUGAUCAAAAUGAAUGCUUAUUAAAAUGCGCACCGGUUUUUAACGUGUCUUGACUGUCGUACAGUCUGAUAUUAAUGACAGUUGAGAUCCUACAGUCUGACAUGAUCAUCAUGUUCGUACAGUCU